This 306-nucleotide long non-coding RNA is filed under the name Rosa chinensis. RNAcentral's name for it is "sRNA RchiOBHm_Chr1g0319981". Lineage: Eukaryota; Viridiplantae; Streptophyta; Magnoliopsida; Rosales; Rosaceae. The record is from RNAcentral.
GCUGCUCAGAAAGAAAUACCAACCAGGUAAAGGACGACACUGGCCCAAAGAAAUAGCCCACAUCCCAUACGUUUAUUUUGGAGACUGGGAGGACGAAGCCAAAGCCGACCGCGGGCUUUGAAUCAGCAAACUCACAACUUGUUUUUGUUGGAGACCACGGUGAAGAAGCCAAAGCCGACCGCUGGGCAUAGAAAUCAAAAUUAUGUUUACCUAUUUUCCGAUUUCUAUUACUAUAGAGCAGCAAGAAGUACAGGGUUGAGCAAUGGACCAGCUCAAGAGUCUUGAUCCACGCACCCUUCUAAUGCU